UGACAACGGAAAAAAGUAUUUGGAUAGCAGAACAAAACGCCUUCUUCAUUUCAACCCUAAAAAUAUGCCAAGUACAAACAGGUACAAUCAAAAUACAGAAACCAUACACAUCAUUUCUUGACCGCAUCAGAAUUGACGGUCAUUUCCACACAUUUUCCUUCUGCAAUUGUCAAAUAUAAUGUGUCAUUGGACAACACUCUUACUCUUAUUACCGCGAUUGGCCCCUUGUCAAUUUGGCCAACUUGCUUUUGCGGGGAUUUUUUUUUUAUGUUGUACUUUCCCCAGUUUCACAUGGUUCGGGCGUCGAACAAUCUCCAAAUGUUUGAAUCUAUUCUUAUUUCCUCAAACGCCCUCACCUUCUUCAAAAUGGUUUCAUUGCUUCCAGACCAAUCAUAGCUUUUAAAAUCCGACUGAGAAUUAUGUGUGCAUAUCAUGUCACUAGAACCAACAAGAAGAGAAUUGUAGAAAGGAAAGUGAACCAAACAUAAAUGACUAGAAACGACAGAAAACAGAGAAUUGUAUUAAACAGACGGUGAAAGAGUUUAACAACAAAACAAGCAACACAAACUGGGGUACAAUCCUAAAACAAACCUAGAUAACACUAAAUAAGAUAAGAGGACUAAAGGAAGUAGACACAUAAAAGAAUAGAAGGAUUUGAAUCACAAGACAAUAUCUGGAUUACAACCCUGAAAAUAACCCGGACAACAAAAAUAACAACAAAAUAAACCACCAAGACUUCUCACCAACUGGCCAAGAGAUGAAGCGUCUUUCAAAUUACUAAGCUCAGCAUCUUAGCCACUGAGUUCUGCACCAAUAUUGCCAAGAUCAUAACCAACUUCGAUAUCAUCAGCUUCAGUCAACAAGUUCCCAAGAGGAUUUGCAUGCUCCCUGUCGCUGUGAUUAACCACAAUUACCCCUUCUUCAAUCAUUCUUUCUAUUUCCCUUUUCAAAUCCCAACAAUUUUCCACAUUGUGUCCCAGAGCAUUGGAGUGGUAUUCACACCUUUUAGAUGAGUCAAAGCUUCUCGCACGUCGGUCCACCUGAUUUGGAGGAAUGGGUGCAAUCAUGUCAUGUUNNNNNNNNNNNNNNNNNNNNNNNNNNNNNNNNNNNNNNNNNNNNNNNNNNNNNNNNNNNNNNNNNNNNNNNNNNNNNNNNNNNNNNNNNNNNNNNNNNNNNNNNNNNNNNNNNNNNNNUUUCAGCAACAAGACUCUUUUUCCCUCUUUUUUCAACAAAUAGCUUUUGUUCCCUUCUAUACCCCUGGCUUGGAUGUGGGUUAUAAGGUACUUUAAAAAUUUUCGCAGACGGGUGGAGAUUUUGUGAUACUCAUGCUCGCUUUCUUGGGUGAUUUGAUGGCUGGGCAACAUACUGGGAAGGAUCAACAGAGUAUGGGGGUUCGAAGAUGGAUAGUAAUUCUUAGGGGGGGUCAUGAAAAACCUGAUGAAGCUGCACAUACCUUCGAGAUGUUCUCCUAGGACCUCUUCUUUACCCUGAUAUCAUCAUGAUUUUUUCAUCCCUCUCAUCCGUGUUACCAAAUUCAAUUUGGACAGCCUGAGCUGCAGCUUUGAGAUCUGUUUGACUUAUAAUUCUGCCUAUCUUAAGACCGUUCUCCACCAUUCCUCCCAUUUUUUCUACUUCCGGGAAGGAUUUACCGACUGCGAAUGUCAUGUGUUGAAAAUAAUCUGGCUCUUAAGCCUGUAGAAAGAUAGUGAUUAACUCGUGGUCAUCCAUGGGUAGCUUAGCUCGAGCUGCCUUCUCUCUCCAUUUAAUGGCAUCUUCCCUGAAACUUUCAGUUGGUUUCUUUUUUAGGUUAGAAAGGGAAAUACGGCCUGGGACGACGUCGAUGUUGUAUUGAAAAUUUUUGACAAAAGCCCGUGCCAUGUCAUCCCAAACAUACCAAAAAGUUGUGGCUUGAUACAAAACCAUUCAGAUGCUACUCCCGAGAGGCUUUCCCCAAAAUAAGCUAUAAGCAAUUGUUCAUUUUCUCCCACACUUCUCAAUUGGAUGCAAUACCUUUUCAGGUGGGCUAUGGGGUCUCGUCCAUUGUACUUUUCAAAUUUGGGAGCCUUGAAACCAGGCGGCAAGUGGAAAUCGGGGAACAUACAUAGAUCUCUAAAGGCAACGCUCGUUUGACCUGCCAUUUCUUGCGUAUUUUUCAGCCACUGUUCCAAUUUUUUCACUCCUUGGGCUAUUUCUUCAUGUACUCUCGUUCGGGCAAGCUUCUCGAUGUUUGCGGGAAGAUCAAAUGAAUACGAGCGGUACUCAGGAGAGUAGUACUAUUCUUGUUGUGUAGCAAUUCGUGACUUGUGACAAGGCUGUCCAUGGCUAUUGGCCCAUGCUUGAUGUAUUUCAGUCAUUUUCUAUUUCGGUGUUAUAUUUUCCUCAAACACCGUAGACCCUAGUUGAACCCUCUGACACUGAGUCUGUAACAGCUUCGAUGUCAGAUACCAUUUUCCUCGGAUCUUGUGUUUCCAUCUUACCACAACCAACCACCUCAACCUUCUUCACAAUUCAAAACAAAACAUGUUAGCAUGGACUGAGUCGGUCCUCAUUAUUAACAUCUUUUCCAUUUUUUCUUCAAUUCUUCUUUUCCAUUUUUCAUUCAUGUUUUUUUUUUGUUUUGGCUGUGGUCGAUUCCUAUGUGGAUUUCCUACGUAUCGUGACCCCACACGAAUCAGACCAGGCGUAGUUCAUGCAAAUAAAAGGUAAACGACAAUAAAAUAUUUUUGGUAUUUUCUAUUUUUUUUAUAAUAACCACAAAAUAUUUUUGGUAUUCACUAGACCAUUGACUAUUUUCUUAUUUUUUUCAAAUUAAAAUAAAUGACCCGGUAUUGCAAACACUCCCUUCCAACGCCUCAGGGACGAAGGCAAUGAGGGUCAAAAAUCAAAAUAUGACCAGAGGUGGCUGUUUAUGCGAAGUCAGUCUUCCGGUGCCCUGCUUAGGAAUGUUUGGAUAUCUUUGCAAAAACGGCAUCACCUGGUUUAUUUAUGACAUAAAUUAAAAUUUUGAUAUUUUUUGGGCUAUUUUUGUAAUUGGGAGGUUGGACCCGAUGAGGAUUGCCUACGUAUCUCACGCCCAGUGAGAAUCAAACCAUGCGUAGUUUAGGAAAAUUAACCGAACUAUUUUAAAAUAGGACUCUUUUUCAUUUUCAUUUUUGGCAUUUUAUAAACAAAAAAAAAUACUUUCAGAAACAAGACUCUUUUUCCCUCUUUUUUCAACAAACAAUAAAACAACCUAUUUUUCCAAGCUAAAAGUAAAAGACUUUUUUUUCCUUUUCUUUGUCAAGAAAUAAUAAAACAACCUACAAACUAAAAUAAAUACUCCUUUUCUUUUUCUUUUUCAACAAACAAUUUUCAAAAAAAAAAUGAAAGACACCUGUUUUUUCUAUUUUUCCUUUGCUUUUAAUAGAACUACAUAAAAACAUUUUCUUUUUUUCAUUUUCUUUUCAAAAUUUUUGCAGAGCUGACAGUACUUGGGCAUCAGAUUUUAUCCAAAUAUAACUCCCUAACUGUUAUUUUUCUCAUUUUCUCUAUUUUUGACUUUUAUCAAAUUCCGGCAUUUCAAAAACCGGUCAACAUGCUGGUUCGAAGAAAUAAAUGCACAGAACAAGUAGGAUGCACCAGGAUGGUCUUUUUCAUUUCAGGUUGCUAGUCCUAGACGGACUAAACCCCUGUGUUGAGUCCCCUAAGUCAAAUGCAGCAUGAUGCAAAUAAGCGUUCCAACUAGGGAUCCAGCAUGAAGUCAAGUUAUUCUAUGUUCAAAACCUGGGUCGGUGUUCAGACAGUGUACCCGGCGGACAACUCGAAUCGAGGAGGGGGCAACUUAUCGGUGACCCGCGGGGUCAGGCGCCUUGGUAACUUAUCCGGCCUCUUUCGUAUUUCAAGGUAUGACACUAACAGAAUAGGGAGUCUUAACCAGUAAGCACAUCCUUGAAGGUAAAGAGAGAAAGGUCUCGGCACAGUUUAUAUACAGUUCAAAUAAUAUCAAAGCGGUAACAAUUAGCACAUUAAGCACAAAGCAUGUGGGAAAAUCAGAUAUAACAAAAUACAACAUGUUAUCUAAGCUCGAAUUCUGAACCCUGAACAAAACGUUCUAGGUUCUUCUCCCAGCAGAGUCACCAUAGCUGUCACACCUCCUUUUUCACUAACAUCCCCGCAAAGGAGCGUAAAGGAGUUUUUCCAAUUAAAGGACAAUCGGAACGGGAUUGAGUUAUUAAUUAUUCAGAGUCGCCACCUGGGAUAUUAAUGGUGUCCCAAGUCACCGGUUGAAUCCCGAACCGAGGAAAGAUAUGACUCUAUUAGAGUCUGCGAACCAGAAAUCCGCAGGGUCUCAAGGGAGACUAGCUCUACAGAGCCUUACUGCUUGGGAUACUGUGCCUUUGAGUAAGGAAUUAUGUUAACCCGGGAGAAGGUGUUAGACAUUCCCGGGUUCCGUGGUUCUAUCACGGUCGCUUAACUGUUGCAUUUGAUUUUAUCUGAUUUUAAUACAUGCUAACUUAUGUGCAUUUUAUUUGUAAACCGCUUUUUAUAUUUAUUUAUUUUAAAAGAAUUGCGACGUCGUGAAAACGCAUUUCGAACCACGUCGCAAUCAAUGCACCCGUGGUUGUCAACAUAAUUCGACUUCAUCGAGAUUUGGAUUUGGGUCGCAUCAAUGUGCACCCGAAUUAAAGAAAUUAAUUUAACUAAAUCGCGCUUAAUGGUUCAAACGUAAUAUUAUUCUGGGAAAGAUCGUUGAAAUUCGCUAAACGGCCCUUCAAAAUCCUAAUCAUUUUUAAUAACUAAUUAUUGAGGGCCCCACAUUUAUUCUUGUUCGGUGAGGCUCAUCUCCAUUUUUGAACCAUUUUUCGAUUGUUAUUUGUAUUAUAAGAAUUAAGACGCCAUGAAAACACGUUUCUAACCCCGUCUCCAUCAAGGCACCCAUGGUUAUCAACGCAUUUCGACUUCGUCGAGAUACGAACUUGGGUCACAUCAAUGCGCACCCAAGUUUAAAGAAGUAAUUUAUUAAAUGACGGGCCUAGAGCGACUAGCGUAUUGUUAAGUUUGCGGGAGGCCGUGAAAUUUGCCAAACGGCACGUCCCGAAUUAUAAGCAUUAAAAUCAAUUAAGUGAGGGCCAUGAAUUUGUUUUAUUUGGCAUGGCUCGCCUCAAUUUAUUUCAGAAGAUUGCACUCUACUAAAGCAAAUUAAGAGUGUUCGCGUUUAUUUCUUUCUAAGUCUAAUAUUGUUCUCAUAAUCUAAUCUGAACUAGAGCUAAUGCUCGACUUAAUUAUUAUCAAUCUCCAAAAUGGCCAAUACAAAGUCUAGCACGAGAGUAAAGCACUAGCAUCCUAAUUUUGCAGAUUCUAAAAAUAAACUUUGCAAACGUGGUCACAAGCUCCUUCAUAUAUUUUAAUAUUAGAAAGAAAAAAACAAAAAUUACAAAAAUGCAUUCAUCACAGUAGUGAUUUGGUAUCACUUACUGGUAUUCACGUAUCCUCCAUUUUGAGAUGCUCACAAAUUACUACAUCAAUAAAGCAUGAAAAUUAGACUUCUUUAAUAUAAGACGAUUGGUAAAAGUUAACAAAUCUGUCAUGCUAAUCCCAAAUCUAAAGCAAAGCGUAAGUGAAUUCUUCAAAACUCCAAUACAAAGUACAGAAUAUGUUGUACCCAGUGACAAUUAAUAAAAUCAUUUCCAAGAACAUUGAACAAUUUCCAACAAUUCCUAACUAAAUCACAGACGGUAUAGAUGGCCUUUGAGUAAACCAACUUUUAUUCAUAUCAUGACUUGGCUAUUUGAAGCAAACAAUAAACCAGACUUAUUCAUUUAUUGAACAAUAAUAAUCCAACAAACAAAGAUAAUAAAAUUACUCUCUAUCAAACCAACACGAAGAUGCAUACUGACAAUAACCAAAAUUAGCUCAGAAAAUCGACACUGAUACAAUGGUAUUAUAUCUAACGGACUAAUGGACUUAAACACUCACCAUAUCUACCAUUACCAUCGGCUUACUGGGAAAACAGAACAAUCCACGUGAAAUCAUUCCCUUAGAUAAUUCAUUCGAUGCAAUUAACAACAAUUAAGAGUUCAAAUCGAGCAUAUAGAUGCAAAAGGGAACAGUAGACUAAUCUUGAAACAUAUUCAACAGGAGAACAAUUCAAUAUCAACGCACUCAGAUGAAAACUCGAUCAUAUUAUACCAAAAAAUCAAACGAACACAGAGUGACCCAAAACAAUAAUGAGAAAACAAACUAGAAAAAGAGAGGAACCUUGUAUUAAUGAAUCAAUCAUAGAAUCGAGAUGACAGUCGAAAUAGUUGAACAACGACCGGAAAACCACCAAAAGUGACCUCGACGAACUUGACGGAUGGAUCUCAGCAAAAUUUCAGCCACAUCCAACAACUAUAAUUGACAGAAAAUCAUGCGAAGUUCCAGAAAAGAAAUUGAAGCAAAAGAGUGAAAAUUUGAAUAGCCUUCAAACACUUUAUUUUUAUGUUUUUCGCUCAUUUUUCCUUUUGAAUCUCACCAUUUUUCUUAUAUGUGUUUUCUUUUAAUUUGAUGGAAAGAGUGCUACAAAGAUGGGGGAAGGGAAAGAGAUAGAAUUCGGAUAUUUUUGAAAAGCUCUCACAACUUGUUUUGUUGAUGAGAAAGUGACGAAAGGAGAAGAAAAUCCAGAUCCAGAAAUGGGGACCCCCUUAAUUUUGUUUUGGCAAAUGGUUUGAUAGAGGGUAUGGGGUGUGGUGUUAUGUGCGGUAGUUUUAUUUAAGGGAAGGUAUUGUAUGAGGUAACAUUUUGCGGGAAAGGUUUUAGGUGGGGGAAUAUUUUGGGGAAGAUAUUUUGGA
Molecule: long non-coding RNA, 6809 nt
Filed under: Nicotiana benthamiana
Lineage: Eukaryota; Viridiplantae; Streptophyta; Magnoliopsida; Solanales; Solanaceae
Description: long non-coding RNA (NBEN_LNC040240)
Source: RNAcentral